This 253-nucleotide ribosomal RNA is filed under the name uncultured bacterium. Its description in RNAcentral is "partial 16S ribosomal RNA". It matches the Rfam family "Bacterial small subunit ribosomal RNA", at positions 524 to 776 of the family's 1533-position model. The record is from RNAcentral.
UACAGAGGGCUCAAGCGUUGUUCGGAUUCAUUGGGCGUAAAGGGUGUGUAGGCGGCGCGUUAAGUCGGGUGUGAAAUUUCGGAGCUUAACUCCGAAACUGCAUUCGAUACUGGCGUGCUUGAGGACUGGAGAGGAGACUGGAAUUCAUGGUGUAGCAGUGAAAUGCGUAGAGAUCAGGAGGAAGACCAGUGGCGAAGGCGGGUCUCUGGACAGGUCCUGACACUGAGACACGAAGGCCAGGGGAGCAAACGGG